RNAcentral lists this ribosomal RNA (480 nucleotides) under uncultured bacterium. RNAcentral's name for it is "partial 16S ribosomal RNA". It matches the Rfam family "Bacterial small subunit ribosomal RNA", at positions 28 to 523 of the family's 1533-position model. The record is from RNAcentral.
GACGAACGCUGGCGGCGUGCCUAACACAUGCAAGUCGAGCGAUGAAACUUCCUUCGGGAAGUGGAUUAGCGGCGGACGGGUGAGUAACACGUGGGCAACCUGCCUCAUAGAGGGGAAUAGCCUUCCGAAAGGGAGAUUAAUACCGCAUAAGAUUGUAGUACCGCAUGAUACAGCAAUUAAAGGAGCAAUCCGCUAUGAGAUGGGCCCGCGGCGCAUUAGCUAGUUGGUGAGGUAACGGCUCACCAAGGCGACGAUGCGUAGCCGACCUGAGAGGGUGAUCGGCCACAUUGGGACUGAGACACGGCCCAGACUCCUACGGGAGGCAGCAGUGGGGAAUAUUGCACAAUGGGGGAAACCCUGAUGCAGCAACGCCGCGUGAGUGAUGACGGCCUUCGGGUUGUAAAGCUCUGUCUUCAGGGACGAUAAUGACGGUACCUGAGGAGGAAGCCACGGCUAACUACGUGCCAGCAGCCGCAGUAA